Molecule: ribosomal RNA, 373 nt
Filed under: Clostridioides difficile
Lineage: Bacteria; Bacillati; Bacillota; Clostridia; Peptostreptococcales; Peptostreptococcaceae
Description: partial 23S ribosomal RNA
Rfam family: Bacterial large subunit ribosomal RNA
Source: RNAcentral
CUUGUAGUACUGGGACUCUAACCAUAGGCCAUGAAUCUGGUCUUGGGACACUGUCAGGUGGGCAGUUUGACUGGGGCGGUCGCCUCCCAAAAGGUAACGGAGGCGCUCAAAGGUUCUCUCAGUACGGUCGGAAAUCGUACGUAGAGUGUAAAGGCAAAAGAGAGCUUGAUUGCAAGACAUACAGGUCGAGCAAGGAUGAAAAUCGGACUUAGUGAUCCGGUGGUUCUGCGUGGAAGGGCCAUCGCCCAACGGAUAAAAGCUACCCUGGGGAUAACAGGCUUAUCUCCCCCAAGAGUCCACAUCGACGGGGAGGUUUGGCACCUCGAUGUCGGCUCAUCACAUCCUGGGGCUGUAGUAGGUCCCAAGGGUUGGG